Bubalus bubalis (water buffalo) is the source of this 1081-nucleotide long non-coding RNA. RefSeq lists it as uncharacterized. The transcript has 2 exons. NCBI's taxonomy places the organism in Eukaryota, Metazoa, Chordata, Mammalia, Artiodactyla, Bovidae. The record is from RefSeq and is a predicted model, not a curated record.
GAAGGAAUUCUUACUAAGUAAAAUUUAAGAACUAAGUAUCACCUACUCCUUGUUCAUUAUCCCUUCAUCUUCUCCCCUCCCCCACAGCUGGGAACUCUGUACUGUUCAUAGGGGAAAGAUAGGCUUUGUUCUUUCUUCCUAAAUAGAACUCCUCCUUAAAUGGCUGCAGUGGGGGAAGGGAGUGGCAGUGAUGUAAAAGCUGCAAGAAUUGGUCUAUGGACACAGCAGUGCUAAACAUACUACCCUUUAUAAAUCAUGAGGAUUAUGUUUUUCUGUUUUGUUUUUUUUUUUAAGCCUGAUCUGGGUAGCCAAGCUUGUUUACCCAAUGGUCUAAUUGUUCCUUAAUGUAAAAAGUGAAAUCUAGAAAGAAAAAUCCCUUCUCUUUUUCUUUUACUCUCCUCACAAAUGAAUGUCUUGUAUUUCAAUUUUUUUAUCUUUCUAGAGUAGCCCUGAUUUCAAACAAAAGAUGUCAAAUGAAGAAAGACACAUAGAAGAGGUCCUAAAGAGUUCCUCGGUUGACAGAGAAUUGUUGGAUUUAAAGAUAUUUGAGAUUGACUUCUACCACAGAAUAGCAAUCCACGGCCAUUAGGAUUCUUACUUAGCCAGGGCCCAUCAAUUCUCACUAAACCCUAUUCACAGAUUGAGAGACCUCAGCCAUUGCUAAUUAAAUAGAUGAUGUGGAAGGAAAGUGGAAGUUCCCAGUUCAAAAAGAAUCCUAGGGCAGAUCACAUUCCUCAAAAGAAUUCAGUUAAUAUCUAAUCGACUUCCUAAUUUCUAUAUGUGUUUCUCAAGGUCUUCUCAACACACAACUUCACAUUCAUAGGGUGAGAUGGUAUGACACUCGAGCGUAUUUGAGACAUAAUUCCAUUAACCUCUUGCUGAUUUGAAGAUUUGGUUUCUCUUUCUCUACCUACACAUUUUCUCUGCAGUUGAAGACUUCAUUUGAAGUUGCAUGCAUCAGUUGCAAAUAUCUUCUCAGAAUAUCCUUUGACAUGAUCACAAUUUUUUAAAAAAAUUAACCAUAAUCCCAUAUUACCUAAUAACCAGUCCAUAUUAAAACUUCUGAAGAACAUCUUUCACA